This 490-nucleotide ribosomal RNA is filed under the name uncultured bacterium. RNAcentral's name for it is "partial 16S ribosomal RNA". It matches the Rfam family "Bacterial small subunit ribosomal RNA", at positions 30 to 507 of the family's 1533-position model. The record is from RNAcentral.
AUUGAACGCUGGCGGCAGGCCUAACACAUGCAAGUCGAACGGUAACAGGAAGAAGCUUGCUUCUUUGCUGACGAGUGGCGGACGGGUGAGUAAUGUCUGGGAAACUGCCUGAGGGAGGGGGAUAACUACUGGAAACGGUAGCUAAUACCGCAUAACGGCGCAAGACCAAAGAGGGUGACCUUCGGGCCUCUUGCCAUCGGAUGGGCCCAGAUGGGAUUAGCUAGUAGGUGGGGUAACGGCUCACCUAGGCGACGAUCCCUAACUGGUCUGAGAGGAUGACCAGUCACACUGGAACUGAGACACGGUCCAGACUCCUACGGGAGGCAGCAGUGGGGAAUAUUGGACAAUGGGCGCAAGCCUGAUGCAGCCAUGCCGCGUGUAUGAAGAAGGCCUUCGGGUUGUAAAGUACUUUAAGCGGGGAGGAAGGGAGUAAAGUUAAUACCUUGGCUUAUUGACGUUACCCACAGAAGAAGCACCGGCUAACUCCGUG